UCUAAAUCAAUGGUCAUACACCAAUUUCUUGAUCACACGAUCAUCAUCUGUUACCUUCGCUAACACUUGACCGUCUCACCACUACCACCAGCUGCAUUGCCGUCAAAAUCGCCGCUGCCAAAACCACCACCACCAUCUCCAACAGCCCUGUCAUCUCAAGCACCGCAACUAGCACCACUUCACCACAAACAAAACAGAUACAAAACCGCCAACACGCUCCUGCGUCAUUCCAAUCUUUGUCUUGUCCGUGGCGUCUUUAACUUCCUCGUUCCCUUUUUUGACAUUACCCAAUAUCAUUUCAAUUACCGCUUUUAUUUAUUUAUUUAUUUUC
Molecule: long non-coding RNA, 331 nt
Filed under: Olea europaea (common olive)
Lineage: Eukaryota; Viridiplantae; Streptophyta; Magnoliopsida; Lamiales; Oleaceae
Description: long non-coding RNA (OEUR_LNC014655)
Source: RNAcentral